This 408-nucleotide ribosomal RNA is filed under the name uncultured bacterium. Its description in RNAcentral is "partial 16S ribosomal RNA". It matches the Rfam family "Bacterial small subunit ribosomal RNA", at positions 28 to 526 of the family's 1533-position model. The record is from RNAcentral.
GACGAACGCUGGCGGCGUGCUUAACACAUGCAAGUCGAACGAAGUGGCGAACGGGUGCGUAACGCGUAAUCAACCUGCCCUUCAGAGGGGGACAACAGUUGGAAACGACUGCUAAUACCGCAUACUGAAGGAGGGGAUUGCGUCUGAUGAUCUAGUUGGAGGGGUACCGGCCCACCAAGGCGAUGAUCAGUAGCAGGUCGGGAAGGAGGAACGGCGACAUUGGGACUGAGACACGGCCCAGAAUCCUACGGGAGGCAGAAGGGGGGAAUCUUCCGGAAUGGACGAAAGUCUGACGGAGCAACGCCGGGGGAGUGAUGACGGCCGUCGGGUUGUAAAGCUCUGUUAAGCGGGACGCGGUACCGUAAUAGAAAGCCACGGCUAACUACGUGCCAGCAGCCGCGGUAAUUC